This 497-nucleotide ribosomal RNA is filed under the name uncultured bacterium. Its description in RNAcentral is "partial 16S ribosomal RNA". It matches the Rfam family "Bacterial small subunit ribosomal RNA", at positions 28 to 507 of the family's 1533-position model. The record is from RNAcentral.
GAUGAACGCUGGCGGCGUGCCUAAUACAUGCAAGUCGAGCGAACAGACGAGGAGCUUGCUCCUCUGACGUUAGCGGCGGACGGGUGAGUAACACGUGGAUAACCUACCUAUAAGACUGGGAUAACUUCGGGAAACCGGAGCUAAUACCGGAUAAUAUAUUGAACCGCAUGGUUCAAUAGUGAAAGACGGUUUUGCUGUCACUUAUAGAUUGAUCCGCGCCGCAUUAGCUAGUUGGUAAGGUAACGGCUUACCAAGGCAACGAUGCGUAGCCGACCUGAGAGGGUGAUCGGCCACACUGGAACUGAGACACGGUCCAGACUCCUACGGGAGGCAGCAGUAGGGAAUCUUCCGCAAUGGGCGAAAGCCUGACGGAGCAACGCCGCGUGAGGGAUGAAGGUCUUCGGAUCGUAAAACUCUGUUAUUAGGGAAGAACAAAUGUGUAAGUAACUAUGCACGUAUUGACGGUACCUAAUCAGAAAGCCACGGCUAACUACGUG